AAUUAGUGUGACCAACUUGAAAAUUAGCAAGGGGAACUUUUUUGUCCUCUUGUGGCACUUCCAAUUUUACAAUUCCUAAUAAAAUUAUUGGAUUUUUUGGCAGAACAGUGGUAAACGUGCAUAACUUCAUAUACCAUUUGAUGUUAAAUCUCUUCAAGUAACAUCAUCCACAGGCUUUUUUACUCAUAAAUCAGAAACUAUUCUAUUCUAAACCCAUUUGAAGUUCCUGAGACUACCCAUGGUGAAUUAGCCUUCCAGGUCUAACUAAAAAUUGACGUCAUGAAUGAAUAUCUCCUUUACAGUGACACUUUGCCUGGAGCAACCUGGAGUUAAGUGCUUUGCUCAAGGGCACAAUGGAGAUGGUUCAUGGCUCACCUCUUGCAGGGAUCAAACAGAAACUUUGAGGUAACCAGCCCCGAGCCUAAACCUUUACACCACAGUCUCUGAAGGGUUUCACUGGGUUUUGUUUCCUUGGUUGUUCUUAUUUUAGGAAACUCUGAUGGUUUACUCUGGGAAGCAGAAGAGAGGUAAAUAUUCCACAGAAGAACAAUCUAUCAGAUAUCGCCAUUGUACCCUUAAGCGAGCAACCUGGGUCAUUUGAGACAGAAGUGCUAAAUGACUAUUUAAUGUGUUUUAAAGAAGUUCUUCUGCUUGACCAAGGUUUCAUCAUCAUCCUGGGAAGAGUUUCGGGAAUCAAAAUCUCUGCUCAGGGAAGAAAACCCAGUCCUGACCCGCACGUUUCAUGAGUCAUUCUGCCUUGAUCAGUUAUUCCUGGCGUGAUGUAGGCAGUGUAACAGGUGCACAGACACCAUGCUGACAUGUGCUGGCACCCAUCAAAGGGACGUCUUGUAAACCUGUCAGAGUUCGAGGACGCAAGAUCUAUCUUUGCGCCACCACACAAUGGAGACUAAGGCAUCAAUUAAUCCUGAAAUAACCCAAACGGCGAGGCUCAAGCGGCACAGAAGAAAAAUCGUAUCGGGAUUUGGAAAAAGCAUGUGGGCGAAAAAUCUUAAAAGCAAGAAAUCAGACCUUCAGUGGAAGCAAAAGCAACCACAGAUCUACACGUCAUGAUCAGAUCAGCUUCGGAUUAAGCAGGUAAACAGACCGACAGCCUGUCUCUCUCUGUCUGUUUCAUGUCUCUCAUAACCACAUGGAGAAACGUUCAUUAUUUUAGCAGUCCUUUUCUAUCUGAACCACUUUUGGAAGAGCAUGAAAGUGAGAGAGCGCGAUCGCACAGCAUCUCUCCACCCUGGCAUAAAUCCUGAUUAAUUAUUAUGCUCAAAUUACCAGGGAUCCUAAAGGGAAGAGAGAGAGACAGAAAAAAGGUUCAAAGCACAGCAGAAAUCUGAACCAGCUGUGCAAGCUUCAUUCGUCACAUCGUAAAAAGCAUUUUUUCGUAUUUUCAUUCUUAAUAACUGGGCUCGGUGCCUUUUAGUGAUUUGCAAAUGCACCCACAUAGAUAUUAUCAGCAAACAAACAUUCAAGGAGGUUU
This is a long non-coding RNA of Carassius gibelio (silver crucian carp), 1492 nucleotides long. RefSeq lists it as uncharacterized. The transcript has 3 exons. NCBI's taxonomy places the organism in Eukaryota, Metazoa, Chordata, Actinopteri, Cypriniformes, Cyprinidae. The record is from RefSeq and is a predicted model, not a curated record.